RNAcentral lists this ribosomal RNA (584 nucleotides) under uncultured bacterium. RNAcentral describes it as "partial 16S ribosomal RNA". It matches the Rfam family "Bacterial small subunit ribosomal RNA", at positions 355 to 1375 of the family's 1533-position model. The record is from RNAcentral.
UGGGGAAUUUUGGACAAUGGGCGAAAGCCUGAUCCAGCAAUGCCGCGUGUGUGAAGAAGGCCUUCGGGUUGUAAAGCACUUUUGUCCGGAAAGAAAUCCUUGGCUCUAAUACAGUCGGGGGAUGACGGUACCGGAAGAAUAAGCACCGGCUAACUACGUGCCAGCAGCCGCGGUAAUACGUAGGGUCAAGCGUUAAUCGGAAUUACUGGGCGUAAAGCGUGCGCAGGCGGUUUGCUAAGACCGAUGUGAAAUCCCCGGGCUCAACCUGGGAACUGCAUUGGUGACUGGCAGGCUAGAGUAUGGCAGAGGGGGGUAGAAUUCCACGUGUAGCAGUGAAAUGCGUAGAGAUGUGGAGGAAUACCGAUGGCGAAGGCAGCCCCCUGGGCCAAUACUGACGCUCAUGCACGAAAGCGUGGGGAGCAAACAGGAUUAGAUACCCUGGUAGUCCACGCCCUAAACGAUGUCAACUAGUUGUUGGGGAUUCAUUUCCUUAGUAACGUAGCUAACGCGUGAAGUUGACCGCCUGGGGAGUACGGUCGCAAGAUUAAAACUCAAAGGAAUUGACGGGGUCAUAGCUGUUUCCU